This 498-nucleotide ribosomal RNA is filed under the name uncultured bacterium. RNAcentral's name for it is "partial 16S ribosomal RNA". It matches the Rfam family "Bacterial small subunit ribosomal RNA", at positions 30 to 523 of the family's 1533-position model. The record is from RNAcentral.
AUUGAACGCUGGCGGCAUGCCUUACACAUGCAAGUCGAACGGUAACAGGUCUUCGGAUGCUGACGAGUGGCGAACGGGUGAGUAAUACAUCGGAACGUGCCUAGUAGUGGGGGAUAACUACUCGAAAGAGUGGCUAAUACCGCAUGAGGUCUACGGAUGAAAGCAGGGGAUCGCAAGACCUUGUGCUACUAGAGCGGCCGAUGGCAGAUUAGGUAGUUGGUGGGAUAAAAGCUUACCAAGCCGACGAUCUGUAGCUGGUCUGAGAGGACGAUCAGCCACACUGGGACUGAGACACGGCCCAGACUCCUACGGGAGGCAGCAGUGGGGAAUUUUGGACAAUGGGCGAAAGCCUGAUCCAGCAAUGCCGCGUGCAGGAUGGAGGCCUCCGGGUUGUAAACUGCUUUUGUACGGAACGAAAAGCCCCGGGUUAAUACCCUGGGGUCAUGACGGUACCGUAAGAAUAAGCACCGGCUAACUACGUGCCAGCCGCCGCGGUAA